Molecule: ribosomal RNA, 484 nt
Filed under: uncultured bacterium
Lineage: Bacteria
Description: partial 16S ribosomal RNA
Rfam family: Bacterial small subunit ribosomal RNA
Source: RNAcentral
AUUGAACGCUGGCGGCAGGCCUAACACAUGCAAGUCGAGCGGAUGAAGGGAGCUUGCUCCUGGAUUCAGCGGCGGACGGGUGAGUAAUGCCUAGGAAUCUGCCUGGUAGUGGGGGAUAACGUCCGGAAACGGGCGCUAAUACCGCAUACGCCCUGAGGGAGAACGUGGGGGAUCUUCGGACCUCACGCUAACAGAUGAGCCUAGGUCGGAUUAGCUAGUUGGUGGGGUAAAGGCCUACCAAGGCGACGAUCCGUAACUGGUCUGAGAGGAUGAUCAGUCACACUGGAACUGAGACACGGUCCAGACUCCUACGGGAGGCAGCAGUGGGGAAUAUUGGACAAUGGGCGAAAGCCUGAUCCAGCCAUGCCGCGUGUGUGAAGAAGGUCUUCGGAUUGUAAAGCACUUUAAGUUGGGAGGAAGGGCAGUAAGUUAAUACCUUGCUGUUUUGACGUUACCAACAGAAUAAGCACCGGCUAACUUCGUG